Molecule: ribosomal RNA, 158 nt
Filed under: uncultured bacterium
Lineage: Bacteria
Description: partial 16S ribosomal RNA
Rfam family: Bacterial small subunit ribosomal RNA
Source: RNAcentral
GGCAGGUCAGCAUACUGCCGUGAAUACGUUCCCGGGCCUUGUACACACCGCCCGUCACACCAUGAGAGUUGGGGAUACCCGAAGCCUGUGAGCUAACAGUAAUGAAGCAGCAGUCGAAGGUAGAAUCAAUGAUUGGGGUGAAGUCGUAACAAGGUACC